GCCUUCGUGGUAUAGUGGUCAGAACGCUCGACGGGUAAUCGAGAGGUCCGUGGUUCAAUUCCCGGCGAGGGCC
RNAcentral lists this transfer RNA (73 nucleotides) under Stegodyphus mimosarum. It matches the Rfam family "tRNA". Rfam says of the family: Transfer RNA (tRNA) molecules are approximately 80 nucleotides in length. Their secondary structure includes four short double-helical elements and three loops (D, anti-codon, and T loops). The record is from Rfam by way of RNAcentral. Lineage: Eukaryota; Metazoa; Arthropoda; Arachnida; Araneae; Eresidae.